This 893-nucleotide ribosomal RNA is filed under the name uncultured bacterium. RNAcentral describes it as "bacterial SSU rRNA". It matches the Rfam family "Bacterial small subunit ribosomal RNA", at positions 8 to 856 of the family's 1533-position model. The record is from RNAcentral.
AGAGUUUGAUCCUGGCUCAGGAUGAACGCCGGCGGUGUGCCUAAUACAUGCAAGUCGUACGCACUGGCCCAACUGAUUGAUGGUGCUUGCACCUGAUUGACGUUGGAUCACCAGUGAGUGGCGGACGGGUGAGUAACACGUAGGUAACCUGCCCCGGAGCGGGGGAUAACAUUUGGAAACAGAUGCUAAUACCGCAUAACAACAAAAGCCACAUGGCUUUUGUUUGAAAGAUGGCUUUGGCUAUCACUCUGGGAUGGACGUGCGGUGCAUUAGCUAGUUGGUAAGGUAACGGCUUACCAAGGCGAUGAUGCAUAGCCGAGUUGAGAGACUGAUCGGCCACAAUGGAACUGAGACACGGUCCAUACUCCUACGGGAGGCAGCAGUAGGGAAUCUUCCACAAUGGGCGCAAGCCUGAUGGAGCAACACCGCGUGAGUGAAGAAGGGUUUCGGCUCGUAAAGCUCUGUUGUUGGAGAAGAACGUGCGUGAGAGUAACUGUUCACGCAGUGACGGUAUCCAACCAGAAAGUCACGGCUAACUACGUGCCAGCAGCCGCGGUAAUACGUAGGUGGCAAGCGUUAUCCGGAUUUAUUGGGCGUAAAGCGAGCGCAGGCGGUUGCUUAGGUCUGAUGUGAAAGCCUUCGGCUUAACCGAAGAAGUGCAUCGGAAACCGGGCGACUUGAGUGCAGAAGAGGACAGUGGAACUCCAUGUGUAGCGGUGGAAUGCGUAGAUAUAUGGAAGAACACCAGUGGCGAAGGCGGCUGUCUGGUCUGCAACUGACGCUGAGGCUCGAAAGCAUGGGUAGCGAACAGGAUUAGAUACCCUGGUAGUCCAUGCCGUAAACGAUGAGUGCUAAGUGUUGGAGGGUUUCCCCCCUUCAAUGCCCGAACUAAC